Molecule: long non-coding RNA, 485 nt
Filed under: Physcomitrium patens
Lineage: Eukaryota; Viridiplantae; Streptophyta; Bryopsida; Funariales; Funariaceae
Description: long non-coding RNA (PPAT_LNC004586)
Source: RNAcentral
GUUUAGGGUUUGGUUAGGAUUUGAUUUAGGAUUAGGAUUUGGUUAGGAUUUGAUUUAGGAUUAGAAUUUGGUUUAGAAUUUAGGAUUUGGUUAGGGUUUAAAAUUUAAUUAGGAUUUGAUCAGGAUUUGAUUUAGGAUUUAGGGUUUUAUUUGAGUUUGUUUAGGAUUUAAAAUUUAGUUAGUUUUUGACCUAAAUUUUAAAUAAAGUAAGAUUUCAACUCGGAUUAAAUUAAGAUUGAAUUGAGAUAUGUUUGUAAUCAUUCUAAUAUUUCUUUAAGAUUUCUUAUUGUUUCUUUGGAAUUCAUUUGAGGUUUCUCUGAAUUUGAUUAAAGCUUAUUUAGCAUUGUUAGUGUUCUAUUAAAAUUAGAAUUUUGUUGUUGCAAUUUCUAUUCUACCUUCCAUAGCUAGGUACCCAGAGCAUUUUCAAGUAAGACUUCACGUAUUAUAACAUGUUCUUCAAGCACGUCAUGACUUUCAAGCAAUUA